GGGGAUAUAGCUCAGUUGGUAGAGUGCUUGCUUCACAUACACAAGGCCCUGGAUUCAAUUCCCAGCACCACCA
Molecule: non-coding RNA, 73 nt
Organism: Ictidomys tridecemlineatus (thirteen-lined ground squirrel)
Lineage: Eukaryota; Metazoa; Chordata; Mammalia; Rodentia; Sciuridae
Source: Rfam